Molecule: long non-coding RNA, 1800 nt
Filed under: Toxoplasma gondii VEG
Lineage: Eukaryota; Apicomplexa; Conoidasida; Eucoccidiorida; Sarcocystidae
Source: RNAcentral
GUACAGAACACGCAGUAACAAGUUGCCACUGUUAAGCAGCGGACAAAUCCACAUGCGUUUUUCGAGAAGCCGGGGAUUCGGUAGCUCGGCUUUUUCAACGAACCCCUCCGACGAUGGUGGUCACGAGUCGGCAGUUUAGAGUUUGCCUGUGGUUUCUAAAACUUGUUCUCGUAUCCUAGUGGCAUUGUUCUUCAGUAGGCCUUCUUUCAGCUGGUGACAGAUUUCUUACCUUACCAGCAGGUCACACUUUUCUGGAAGAAUUCCGUGUUAAUAGACACGUGUAUCGACACCGGGAUCCGAAUUUCCUCGGGACCGACGGGACACGGUGAACAGGGAACUUGUUUACCCAGGAGGAGGAAGUCAGUGCAAAAUAAUAUACAAAAGUAUCUUCUGUGUUACCGCUUCGUACACACACCAAUGACAAGUUUCGACCUCGAGAGGCGUGUGUGCAUGUAGGCACGUCCAACGACAGAUUGUCGUUUGAAUGCAAUAGCUGCAGAGGGAAAACGCGCCCUCGUUUCUCUGUUUGUCACAGUGCUAGCCACCACACGACGGGUUCCUGAAUAUUUCACGCUCUGAUGAAGCGUCUUGAGGUGGCGCAGCUUCCGGAGCAGCAGAAUGGUGCGCGGAUGCGGGGAUCAGGAAUAAAGUGAAACACGGGAAGGAGUUUAUUUAGAAGGCACGACAAGGGGGGAUGUUCUGCUUUCGGAUAACCUACCACCCGAAAAUGUCCCCAGAAGGCGGAAGAGACUCGAAUGAAACAGACAGCAAGCACUGGCCGUUCGUGUAUGCCGAGGCACGCUGGACUUUCACAGGAAGCAAAGAGAACAUUGGAACUGCCUUUGGUCGGGCUUGACGAGAAAGUGACCGACUUUUUAAACCAAGUGUUCUCGCAUGCACGUGUUUGCGAAGACGAAGCAGUGGAUGUCGGCAUUUGGAAAGAAAAUGCUGAGACUUUGCGGUCGUACGGGAAAAACGGGCAAACGACUCGGAAAAACAACAGUCUCAGCACAGACGAGUCCACGUCCAGUUCGCGGUCAUUUUCGAGCUGAAGUCGAUAUCGCGGCACUUGUUGGUUGUUCGAUGGAUGAAGCAAAGUGAUAUUGUUCAGCAGAAGGCGGAACUGCUACCUUAUUGUCGAAAUUGCCUAGCGAAGUUGCUGCAAAGUGGUGUUCACAGUCGGACAUCUUUCAGUUCUCAGCUGUAGCCUGGAUGGAAAUAUUUUCCGUGUGACACGAUUUUCUGUUUCACUGAUCUUGGCGGCAACAAAAAUGGCCACGCCUUAUCGAACGAUGCAACUCAGAUCAGACCAGAGUGCGCUCGAGAACAAGCUAAGAACCAGAGGGGAAACUUGGGCGGCGGUUGAGGUCACGGAAUUAUCAAAAACUUCCUUGGGUAGCCGGUUUCGCCUCUUCAAAGAUCCGUAGUGAUGAACGGGAUGUGUGAUGAGCCGUGUGCUGUGCUGAUGUCAACAGAUAAUCAGCCGCAACCUCUGUGAUCUUUUGACUUGUGUUUACCUUAUCAACGAGGGGAAUUACUCAGAACCAUUUCCCGUUCGAGUAAAACUUGCUCGAAAACAAAAAAUGGUCUUCGGGAACUUCGUGUCUAUGUUGGUGAUGUAAAUCCGUUCCUGAACCUUACGUUUUUUCCCAUUGGCGUCGAACCGUUGCAGUAGCUGAAUCCUCGGUAGCGUUCUGUGCCACAGUUGCAGAAUCUGUACAGAUCGUUGUCGAAGAAUCGGACCUCCUGUUACCCUUCGCGGUUGGCAAGAAAGAGCAUCUGUCUUUCUAGAAAAACUAG